Cucurbita pepo subsp. pepo (vegetable marrow) is the source of this 1073-nucleotide non-coding RNA. The record is from RefSeq and is a predicted model, not a curated record. NCBI's taxonomy places the organism in Eukaryota, Viridiplantae, Streptophyta, Magnoliopsida, Cucurbitales, Cucurbitaceae.
UGUUUAAAUUAUCUCGUGAUAAGCACGAUACUUCGGGAGCUACCAGAAAUUUAGAGAAGGAAUUAGUUAAUGGCGCCUUUUAUAACGAUUAAGAGCGAUUAAGAACUGUAUUUCAUCUGUUCGAGAUGGCGAUGUAAGGUCAAAGUAACCAGGAGUGCCAGCCACCAUUCAUGUGGGUCUUGCUACCAUCACUUGGAAACUCUUGGAGAGCCCGAAAUCUGCAAGUUUGGUUUGGAAAUUGCCUGUCAGCAAGAUGUUCGUUGUUUUGUCUGUGGACUGUGGGUGGGUUACAACCAUUAUGCAGUUGACUUGGACUUGGCCAUCUUUUUGAAUACCAACAGCUGACAAGAGAAUUUCAACCCAACCAUCUGCAUCCUGCUGACCAUAGCAGAGGUGUGCCAGCGACAACUGUGGACAUGUGGGUGUUGCCAUCUAUGGGAAAGCUUUUGGAGAGACCGAAAUCGGCAAGUUUGCCUUGGAAAUUAUCUGUCAACAAGAUGUUUGUUGUUUUCACAUCUCUGUGAACUAUUGGUGGCUUACAACCGUAAUGCAGGAAGUCAACAAUAUAGGGAUUCUCUUAACACAGCUUGGUCAAUAUCCACUGCUGGUCUCUGUGACAUGCAAGGCACGUUACAUAGGCAAGUUGACAAGGUACUAUAAUAACUUACCAUCAAUCAUAUGUAUAGUUUAAUUAAUUUAAGAAUUGAAACUGGUACCCUUUCGUUUAUCAACGAGUUUUGGGUUGUUUUGUAAGCCUAGUUUUGCAGAAUAGUUUGAAACUUGUACUAAAUUAUAUAUCAUGACAAUCAUAUUAUACAGAGAUGAAGCUUAAUUUCUUCAUUAUGAGCUGCUAAGUAGGAAAGGUUAGAGAGGGCCUCCAUUUCCAUUGAUUUUGACAUUUUUUUUAUGGGAAAUAUCAGGGAAAAAGACAGACAGACCAAGUCCAACAAUUUAUGGCCGACUGGAGUGCAAGUUGAAUCAAGUUCUAUGGAUUGAAACUAUCUCCAUGUUUCUCCAAAUGAAUGCCAUUCCACCAUUGGAGGCAACUCAAUUGGUAUAGGAAUUGAAGGUAC